RNAcentral lists this ribosomal RNA (518 nucleotides) under uncultured bacterium. Its description in RNAcentral is "partial 16S ribosomal RNA". It matches the Rfam family "Bacterial small subunit ribosomal RNA", at positions 29 to 523 of the family's 1533-position model. The record is from RNAcentral.
AGCGGACGCUGGCGGCAGGCUUAACACAUGCAAGUCGAACGGAAUUGAGGGGCUUGCUCUUCAAUUUAGUGGCGCACGGGUGAGUAACGCGUAGAUAAUCUGCCUGAUGAUUCGGGAUAACACUUCGAAAGGGGUGCUAAUACCGGAUAAGCCCACGGAGUCCUUGGAUUCUGCGGGAAAAGGGGGGGACCUUAGGGCCUUCUGUCAUCAGAUGAGUCUGCGUACCAUUAGCUAGUUGGUAGGGUAAAGGCCUACCAAGGCGACGAUGGUUAGCUGGUCUGAGAGGAUGAUCAGCCACACUGGAACUGAGACACGGUCCAGACUCCUACGGGAGGCAGCAGUGGGGAAUUUUGCGCAAUGGGGGAAACCCUGACGCAGCAACGCCGCGUGAGUGAUGAAGGCUCUUGGGUCGUAAAGCUCUGACAGAGGGAAAGAAGUGUAUUGAGGUUAAUACCCUUGGUACUUGACGGUACCCUCAAAGGAAGCACCGGCUAACUCCGUGCCAGCCGCCGCAGUAA